Molecule: long non-coding RNA, 7690 nt
Organism: Varanus komodoensis (Komodo dragon)
Lineage: Eukaryota; Metazoa; Chordata; Lepidosauria; Squamata; Varanidae
Exons: 3
Source: RefSeq, a predicted model, not a curated record
GGCUCCUGCCCUGUUAUACUUUGUUAGGAAUCUGACCUCCCUUGCUCCUGGCUCUGCCUUUGCCUUUGGACCUGCCGGGCCCUGCCAGGUAUCUGACCCUCCCUUGCUCUUGACUCUGCCUUCGCCUUUGGCCGUGUUUCACUAGCAUCUGAGCAUUGCGUGCUCCUUCCUCUGGCCCUGGUGCUGGUGUUGCAGCCAUAGUCACCUGCCACCUCUGUCCCAGACGCGACAGCACUUCGUUCUAACACAGACAGCCAUUCCUUACAUGAGUGUCAAAAGCCUUACUCCUUCGUUUUAUGUAGGGUAUGUGCCCAGCACCUCUGAGACUUGCCCCAAGAAAAUGUGGGACCCGAUUCUGAGUCAGAGGGGGAGCAGCAGUUGGAAAGUGCCAAGAGAGCAGGAGCCGCCAAUUGGAGAGAUUAACAAGGACAAAAUGAAGGGAAUCCAGUUGUCACCGAAUCUUUCAGAGGACAACCAAGUGUCGUCACUGUACCUGGGAUCGUAUCGAUGCCAUGUGCAAGGCUUACCUUGGCUGCAACUCUCGGUACUUUACAGAGUGAUCCUGGGGGUCUGUGUGGCAAGAGCAGUGGGAGCAUUGGAAUGGGCCUUCGGAAAGCUGGGUUCCCAUCCCCACCCGGUCACGAAGACUGCACGGGUAACGCUGGGCCAGUCGCAGACUCUCACCCAACCUGCCUGUUGUGAAGAUAAAAUGCAGAGGUAUAGUGUCAAUAUCACGGAUUAUAAUUAUCUUCUGCAAGAAGUUACCUGGUUCCGUUGCUGCUCACUUUUUGGUGAGCUGCUGAGGCUGUCCUUUCCAGCAGGCUUUUACAAAAUGCCCUUUUCGUUUUUGUGUUGUUCGCUGAUUUUAUAAUGUUUAAUUUAACCUUGGUGCUUUAUGUAUUGCUCUAGAUAUUUGUAUUGGCCAAUUCUGGCCAGUUUGAGUAAAAAGACAUAAAGAAAUAAAGAAUAGAGGGAUCGAAAUGCUUUUAAAUAAAUAUUUAUUUGGACACUGGAAAGGAUCAGAAAUAUAGCAAUUCCACCCUAACAGGAAGAGCCCUGCACGCAAAUUAAGGUUUCUUUGUGGAAGAUUUUGAAACCUGGAUUUAUGGAUUGAUCUAGUCUCUUUUUGGCUGAAUUUGGCUGAGUCCAAAUGCAAAUGCUGUUAACCUGGAUAAAUCCCCAAACAGUGCAGGACUGUACCUGAUCAAAUGAUGCCCCCCAGAGAGGAGUCUCCACCAAUCCCACACCUUCCUUUUCAUUAAGGCACUGCAGUUGUGAGUCUGAUUUCUGCAGGUAUUUGAAGCUGGUUGAUCCUGCUUGCUGCCGUCCUGACUAUGAAUGAAUUCAGAUCAAACUGAGGAGGAGAUCUUUCCUUCAAAUCGCUCCGUGAGUAGUCCGAUUCCAUUUUCUGUAAAUGCUAUUAGUGCACAUGCUGUUAUUGCAUGUACUCAAGGCUGUACCUGGCAAAAAGAAAAGAUUGAUGUUCUUUUGUUGUUUAAAAGAGGCAUAGCUCGUGUUCCUUACAUGCACAGACCAAUCUGCGAAGCUGCAGAAGGAAGAUGCAAACGGUGACGCACAGAAUGUAUUUCAGAGCAGUUGGAUCCUUCACAGCUAAAAGGAAGAUGCGGGGAGAGACAAGUACAGGCAUUUGAGGGCUGGUAUGCUUUCCUGAGCAGCAGCAAGCUUUGCCCCUAAAGGGAAUAUGCUCUAACCCAUUUGAGUGCAAAUUUAUGGCUGUACUACCCUGAGCAUUGAUUGUUUAAUGGGAGCAUCACUAUUCUCCCAGCCUUAAGGAAGAAGGUAGCUGGCUUAGUUCUUAGCCCUCAGCUUCACCAUCAUUUCUGUUGCCCUUAGUUGCUCUGGGAAGUGCUAGGUUUGGUACUGGGAGUCUGAGAAGGACAUUCCCUGUGGACAGAAAAUACUUUCCUGUGCUCCUCUUUGUGUCCCUUCCCAGAAAAGCGCUCAUACUGCACUAUUGUGCGGUAGCAGGGUGUGAAGUUCUUGGUGUACAUCUUAGAGAUGCCAUCUUCCAAUUUUAAAUUUCGAUUUUAAAUAUCCUGUCUUACUUGAACUUCAGUGGGACACAUAGAGUGAUGGCACAGGAGAUCUACAAUUCAGAGAUGAGUGCUUUUAAAAUUUGUUCUUUAUAUUCUAGCAGUUUUUCUUUAAAAAACACAGAGCUACCAAGCAAAUUACACUUGUCUCAACAUAUUGUAAUGUUUCCUUCUCCCACAGCAUUGCAUUUGAUUGCCUGUGCAGUCUGAAUGUCAAACCACCAAAAUCUUGAUUAGAAGUUUGCAGCUUGUAUAUUCUGGAGGCCCGUAUUGAGUUGGGCCCCCAUCCAGGCCGCCAAGCCGAAGUGGGCUUUGAGCUGGGUGACUCAGCAUUUGGGUGUACUCUUUGCAGCAAGCUAGGGAAAAGGGAAACAGUGAUGUCUUUAACUGCUUUCCGGAGUUGUACAGAUUCUUUGUAUCAGCUUCCAUCAAUCAGCUUUAAAUAUGUUCCUUUUCACUGUCCAGUUUAACAUUGUUUUUUCUAGAUAAAAAUCAACACAGUUCAGCUUUUCUUGGAGACAGUAUUACCAAAUGUAAUAAGCACUACAAAUAUGAUAAAAACAUAUAUUAGAUGAGAACAGGAAAAAAUGUAAGCUCACUGGGGUGUGGGCACCAAAGGUGGCUGAAGCUUGUGCUCCUUCUCCUGUCUUGUGCGAAUUCUUUCCCUUCUUUUAUUUUUCUGAACUGGCCAUGGUUUGGACCACAUUACAUCUAUUGGUGCUGAUAUAAUGGCAGCUUACUUCAAACUACAGUUGGUAAAUUAUCUCCUAACCAUAUUUGCAAAUUGUAGGUUGAAGGCAAGUCUUAUUUUGUUAUCAAAAUUGUCAGACCCGGGACCAAAGGUAUAUGUGAAGUACCAUUUCAUCCCAAUCAUUUUUUUCCUUAUUUUUUUUUUGCCUUAUGGCUACAAGGGCCCUCACAGCUAUUUCAGUAUUAAAUAACUACACUUUUCAAUAUUAAGUUUUUUAGGUCCUUCUUCUGAACCAUGUAUAGCAAUUUCUGAUGACUUACACAGUCUGGCAGUUUUUGCUAGGAACAAACCUGUGAUUUUAAGGACUGCAAGCAUGGGCAGCUCACUUUGAUGGAUCCUCUUUACUUUGUGGGUGGCACUGUCAGCAAUAUUUACUGAAACAAGAAACAAACUUACGACUUUAAUGUGUUUUCCUUAUGAAUCUUCAUUGCAGUUUCCCUUUUCCUUGUACGUCCUUAAAUUCCAGUUCACUUUCCCUCUACUGUUUCAUUACUACAUUUUCUUAUUUUCUAGCUAACUUCGUUUCCUCAUUUCCCCCCUCUUCAUUUCUGGUUUAUUCUCCUUUUCCACAAUUGACUCCUCCUAUACAUUCCUGUAACCCUUCUUUGGCGUCUCUGCACUGCUACCAGCGCAGCAGGAGCAGCAGCCCCACCGCCAGCUGCCUGCAGAGGCGGUUCUGUGGUUCUGGAGGGUGCAUCUGCCUGCCCCGUGCAGUCCUGUGGGAAAGCAGACCAGAAUGAGGAGUGUAAAACUCUCCUGGUUUAACAGGACUUAUGGUUGGAGCUACACUCUCCACCCCAAAGGUUUGAAAGUACGUAAAAACUGUGCCCUGCGAGAGGAGCUCCGUUCCUGUUUCUGCAGUGCUCUGUUCUGCCCAUGAAGUCCGGUCUCUCAGUCACCAAGCCUGAAGCCGAGGCAGGCCAGCAGGGACUGGCCUCUCGUCAGUUUUCACUGCCCCUCCUAAUUAAAAUGCAGUUUGUUUUUUGCCUUCCAAAAGCCUGCAGAGCAGAUGAACUGCCUCCCCACCGGCUUCUUUUGGCGCUCCCUGCAAACUUGAGGGCUGACUAUGGGCCUGUCAAGCGGAGAGGUAAUGAGCAGGCUGCUCUGAGAUGUGCGUCUCUGCCCAGGGAAUGAUUGAAGGAUCCAGUCACACCUCAUGCAUAGACACAAUACAAUGGUCUGCACCCAGCAAGGCCUGACUGAAAGAAGCGAACGGCAGAGCAGUAAAUCGUGGAGAGAUGUUGUGGCCAGCUUCCUGUAGGGAUGGUGCAGAGCGCUCAACAGCAUGGUUCGUUUUUUAAAUCAAUGCAUGUUUCAUGGCACAAAGUUAGACCGUUUUUGCUUCAAGGAAUGAUGGUUGUUGUGCGGUGGACACAAGCCGAUGGUGCCAAAGCAAAUUAUUCCCCCCUCGUUUGGGACUUGGGGAGGGCGGUUCCAUUUUCUCAUGCCAUAACGAGCGUCCCACAGAUGUUCAGAAAGGUCUUCUAUUCUGAUGGCAACUUCCAGCCCUGGCUAUCUGCGUCAGCUGUGGCGUUGUGGGUGCCAGGGUCAAGUUGCUGAUGCGAGCUGUGUACAAUAACUGGAAGCCAUCUGGAGAGCGCACAAAAGCUGGCGAAAGCCCACAAAACAAAAUUUCAGAUUUUCUUUAAAAAUUAUGCAUAACCUCAUGUAUGCAUAAGAAAUGCUCAGCUUGGGUUUUGCAGGCACACAUCUGUUUCUUUUCUUCUUCUUUUGGAUGAAUCUGGUUCCUGCAAAUGGAAUACCUUUCGCUAGGCUGGCUCUGGGUUUCUCAUCAACUAUAAAGACUAUCUUGUGUGAUUCAUAGAUGCUUUUUCAAAGGCAGCUUGGGAUGCUUCUGUGUAUCUGCUGUCUGUCUGUGUUUGAUCCCAGGUUAAGGUUUCACAGAUGUUGCCUCCACAGAGCUGGCCCCUUUUAUCUCUCAAGCUUUGGAGCAGAUCCUGUCUCCAAGUCUCCAUCUUUGUGGAACUCAGCAGACAGAAUUGUCUUCUGCUUCCCAGUUUUUAAACGGUAUGUUAAGUUUGCGGUGGCAGUUAGUUCUGCUCAUGUCAUUGCAGUCACUGAAAUACAGUAGAGUAUCUAGAGCCAAUAUUAUACCAGGUUUAUCGAGGGUGACUAUAAAGUACUGGCCUGGAAGUCCCUGAUUCAAAUGUUAGCUCCACCAGGGUGAGCUCAUGAAGUAGGCAGCUCUCUCGCAACUCCUAAGCUUGUCUUGCAGAGCUGCCAUAAGGAUGAUUGGGAGACUGCAUGUGAAGGAAAGAGACUGAUCACUUCCACAGACUUAAAACACAUACUGGUUCCAUCUAGAGCUGCAUGAGGAAGAUAACAGGGCUUUCCCAUCUCCUCCUACCUGUGGCAGCCCAUUGGUGCCCUGCAGAACAACACAGGCUGCGGGAAAUCGCCAUCAGCAGGAGCAGAGGAAACUUGCACAGAAUGAACUCACACACCAGGGAGAAGUGGGCGUGAAUGCAAGACUCACUGGAGAAGACAAUAAUGCUAGAGAAAGUUGGAGGCAGAAGAAGAAGGGGGAAGACCAAAUAUGGGAUGGAUCUCAUAUUGGACCUGAAGGAAGCCACAGGCUUGGGGUUUCCAAGAGCUGGGCAAGGCUGUCAUGGACCGGACUUUUACUGAGACGACUUCAUGACAUGUGUCAACAGCACUAACACCCCCACCAGCGACAACAAUGCUUUCUAUCACAACAGGGAUCUAGGAGCACUUGGGAAGCAUGGAAGAGAAAAGUUAGCCUCAAGCAAUACACCUAGCCAGCUAAGUGGGACCUAUGUGAGACCAUUAAGCUAAGUGGGACCUAUGUGAGACCAUUAAGUCCAAGGUCUAAAAUUAUUUUUCUGUAGCUCUGAGAAGGAUGAGCUGGGGAGUUGUCAGCAGAUCAACAGCUCAAAGGUUUAGGGUUAGUUGUUUUGUUUGCCUUCUCUGCGAUGCUCCUCCAAAGAAAGAGCUGUGUUGGGAGUUGACCAGAGCCUUGUCAACGUCUAGAUGGCUGGGUCUUUUCAGAGAGUGCUGUGCAGCGCUGAACGGUGUCCCUUUCAUGGGAAAAUAUAUAGCAGCCUGUCAUUCCACGUGUCUCUUCCAGACAAGACUGCCAUUCAAAUAUUAAAAGCGAAUUCCUUUUCCAAUGCUACAAUUAACUUUCCAGCUGGAAAAAGAAACACAUGAAUUUACUUUUAAUCUAGAACAGACUUUCAACUAGCAGAUACGGUCACAUUGUUAGUGUGAAAUGACUUGUGUCUUAUGAUUAUUGUUCUAUUUUAAAAGUUUUUACAUUUCCUUCCUCUCCUCUUCCUUGCAGUGUGAUCAGAGUCCCGCAUAUUUGCAUAUAAUGCUAAUUUAACCCAUGGUUAAACUUAUAGUUUGUUCCCUAGCCCAGGGGUAUGUUUGGCAGACACCCAACAAAUAGUGCCCCCCCCCCCCCCCCCCAGUUCCAGAGCUUUUUGGUUCCCUCCUUCUUGCCAGCAGAGUUCCUGUAUCCCAAAUGCCUUUGCAAUGUUGUAAUGCUGACAUUCUGAGUGUCUGUUUGGGGUUUUUUUAAAUCGCUGUUGCUCUGUACCUCUAUAGCCGGAUGGAACAGCCCAUUAUUAUGCACUGAGAUAAUUUUCUCUCCCCAACCCCUUCCGAAGCCAAUCAGUGAGACAGAUGGGAAGCUGCGGAUGGGGAGGACUUUUUCUGUUCCCCCCAGUGUGAUGUGAAGGGGUAGUAGCCGCUUGGGCACCUGUGGCAGGCAGUGUGGAAACGCCAGACAUGCAGUCUGCGGUCCCUGAGUUGCCCGGCUGCAUUUUAGAGGAACCUGUAAGCUCUGUGCCCUUGUUUACUUACAAUAUUUCUCUGCUGCCAGUCCACAAAAGUUCUCUUGGCAGUUCACAAACAAGUUAAAACCUUGAAGUAUAAAAAUAAAAUGCAAACAUAAAAAUCCGAAUGAGUUAAAAAGGCACCUGAAAACAACCAGCCUUAGCAAACAACGAUAGUGUGAAUGAUUUUAAAGCACUAAAACUAAAUUUAGUGGGAAAGUUGAAAAGUGUUUUGAUGCACUGGAAAGGCCUCACUCGUCAGUUCCAGGGCUGGAGAAGGCAUUCCACAGAGCACCGCCAAUGGACAGAUCCUUCCCUUCGUGGCGGUCCUGUGGGAAGAUCCUCUGAAGAUGCUGUCGAGUCCAGGCAGAGAAGAGAUGAUUCUCUAGGUAACCUGACCCUGAGUACUUUAGGGCCUCAGGCUGAAUGCCAGAACUUUACACUGGUCCCACACGUGGACAGACCUGGCAAGCGCACCUGAGCCAGUGCCGGUUAACCAUUGUGGCCCUAUUCUGGACCACUUGCAAUUUCCGGAUCACUUUCAAAGACCGCCUCAUACAAAAUAACAUUGAAGAGAACUUCCAGACAUCGGGUGGGCUGGCUCUGUGCCCCAAGGGCUGGUUUCCACGUAAAAAUCAAUAUGUGUGAGAUGGGUUUUUUAAAUGCUGAAUGCAUGAGGCUGAAGUAGGAACCACAGUGACUGUUCUCGUCAUCCCUCUGCCUUCUCUCCCUCCCUCUCCCCUCCCUCUUCUCUCGCUUUCAUGCUGUGUGUGUGUGUGUGUGUGUGUGUGUGUAAAGUUACUCUUGUGGCCUUCAUUGUUUUAUGGAGAGACCAUUUUAAUUAAGGCUUUCCCUAAAGUGAAGGAGGAAGAGGAAGAGGAAGAGGAAAAUAAAAAGAAGUGGGAGUCUAUAUAGACUUGGAUUUACAUGGCCAUGAAUGUCAUUUGGUCUCAGGAAAGGCUUGAGGUUUUUAAAUUGGUUGUCUGUCUCUGCUGUUAAAACAUGCAGGAGACCACAGAAGAUUGUGGAAAUGGUUUGACCUUUUAAAUAAAAUGUUCACUGGA